UGCCCUAUAGUUCAGUGGUAGAACGACUGGCUGUUAACCAGUGUGUCGUAGGUUCGAGUCCUACUGGGGCAG
This 72-nucleotide transfer RNA is filed under the name Ruminococcus sp. AM18-44. RNAcentral's name for it is "tRNA-Asn". It matches the Rfam family "tRNA". From Rfam's summary of the family: Transfer RNA (tRNA) molecules are approximately 80 nucleotides in length. Their secondary structure includes four short double-helical elements and three loops (D, anti-codon, and T loops). RNAcentral also lists the same sequence under 2 other names. The record is from RNAcentral. Lineage: Bacteria; Bacillati; Bacillota; Clostridia; Eubacteriales; Oscillospiraceae.